CCCUUAGAUGUUCUGGGCCGCACGCGUGCUACACUGGUGAAUACAACGAGUAUUACGACCUUGGCCGAAAGGUCUGGGUAAUCUGAUGAAAGUUCAUCGUGACUGGGAUUGAUCCUUGCAACUAUUGAUCAUGAACGAGGAAUUCCUAGUAAAGGCAAGUCAUCAUCUUGCUUUGAUUACGUCCCUGCCCUUUGUACACACCGCCCGUCGCACCUACCGAUUGAAUGUUUCGGUGAAGAUUCCGGAUAGGACUUUUUUGAUUUAUUUCAAUUUUGUCUUAAAAGCUAUCUAAACCUCAACAUUUAGAGGAAGGUGAAGUCGUAACA
Molecule: ribosomal RNA, 326 nt
Filed under: uncultured eukaryote
Lineage: Eukaryota
Description: partial 18S ribosomal RNA
Rfam family: Eukaryotic small subunit ribosomal RNA
Source: RNAcentral